Molecule: ribosomal RNA, 492 nt
Filed under: uncultured bacterium
Lineage: Bacteria
Description: partial 16S ribosomal RNA
Rfam family: Bacterial small subunit ribosomal RNA
Source: RNAcentral
GAUGAACGCUAGCUACAGGCUUAACACAUGCAAGUCGAGGGGAAACGGCAUUGAGUGCUUGCACUCUUUGGACGUCGACCGGCGCACGGGUGAGUAACGCGUAUCCAACCUUCCCAUUACUGUGGGAUAACCUGCCGAAAUGCAGACUAAUACCGCAUAGUCUUCGAUGACGGCAUCAGAUUUGAAGUAAAGAUUUAUCGGUAAUGGAUGGGGAUGCGUCUGAUUAGCUUGUUGGCGGGGUAACGGCCCACCAAGGCGACGAUCAGUAGGGGUUCUGAGAGGAAGGUCCCCCACAUUGGAACUGAGACACGGUCCAAACUCCUACGGGAGGCAGCAGUGAGGAAUAUUGGUCAAUGGACGGAAGUCUGAACCAGCCAAGUAGCGUGCAGGAUGACGGCCCUAUGGGUUGUAAACUGCUUUUGUAUGGGGAUAAAGUUAGGGACGUGUCCCUAUUUGCAGGUACCAUACGAAUAAGGACCGGCUAAUUCCGUG